Molecule: long non-coding RNA, 235 nt
Filed under: Mytilus galloprovincialis (Mediterranean mussel)
Lineage: Eukaryota; Metazoa; Mollusca; Bivalvia; Mytilida; Mytilidae
Source: RNAcentral
GGACAGAUAGGGAAUUUUUUUCUUUUUACUUGUAGCAAGAAAACAAGUUCGGUGACACCAUUUUUUCUUUUUAUUUUCUUAAAACAUAUUACAAAACCUAUCUUUUCACAAUUUUUUUCAAAAUUCUAUCUCAUAGAUUUUUUUUUAUGCACACAAAUGUGUUUUCCCAUGAACAAUCUAACCAAAUUUAGGCAAUUUUCAACGACUCAUAGCUUGAAAAAUAGCACGGUGACCC